Molecule: transfer RNA, 66 nt
Filed under: Marmota monax (woodchuck)
Lineage: Eukaryota; Metazoa; Chordata; Mammalia; Rodentia; Sciuridae
Description: tRNA.Ala
Source: RNAcentral
GGUUGUGGCUCAGUGGUAGUACACUUGCUUAGCAUGCAUGAGAACUGGGUUUGAUUCUCAGCACCA